GGUAAACGCUGGCGGCGUGCCUAAAACAUGCAAGUCGAACGCACAGUCGCAAGACUGUGAGUGGCAGACGGCUGAGUAACGCGUGAGUGACAUACCCGUUGGUGGGGAAUAACUGCCCGA
This 120-nucleotide ribosomal RNA is filed under the name uncultured bacterium. Its description in RNAcentral is "partial 16S ribosomal RNA". It matches the Rfam family "Bacterial small subunit ribosomal RNA", at positions 28 to 154 of the family's 1533-position model. The record is from RNAcentral.